This 253-nucleotide ribosomal RNA is filed under the name uncultured bacterium. Its description in RNAcentral is "partial 16S ribosomal RNA". It matches the Rfam family "Bacterial small subunit ribosomal RNA", at positions 524 to 776 of the family's 1533-position model. The record is from RNAcentral.
GACGGAGGGUGCAAGCGUUGUUCGGAAUUACUGGGCGUAAAGGGCGCGUAGGCGGUCUGUUAAGUUCGGUGUGAAAGCCCCCGGCUCACCCGGGGAACUGCGCCGGAAACCGACAGACUCGAGUACCGGAGAGGAGGGUGGAAUUCCUGGUGUAGCGGUGAAAUGCGCAGAUAUCAGGAAGAACACCCGUGGCUAAGGCGGCUCUCUAGUACGGUACUGACGCUGAGACGCGAAAGCGUGGGGAGCGAACAGG